Molecule: long non-coding RNA, 361 nt
Organism: Epinephelus fuscoguttatus (brown-marbled grouper)
Lineage: Eukaryota; Metazoa; Chordata; Actinopteri; Perciformes; Serranidae
Exons: 3
Source: RefSeq, a predicted model, not a curated record
GGACGUCGUUUAACAGCACCUAGCACUUCUUCAAAGGUGUUUCCAGAUCCCUUAAAGACUCAACUAUCUGUUACUUUGGGAAACGCCUACAAAACCACUGGCACAACAUUUAAACAUCUUCAAAUGUCAGCAAUCCUCUUCUUGAUGGUUGUUGGUCUGAUUGACACUAUCAGCCAUUAUGAUUAAUAAUCAGCCACAUCUGGUGCAUAAUGAAGAGCCAAGACUGCGCCAGAGAUUGAUUCAUCAGUGACAUCACGGCACAACUUCAAGUGUUUUAUAUCAUUCUCACCAAUGAAGCAGAUGACUGCAGUGAUGGCCAGAUCUCGAGCAUACCGUUGAGGUGUCACGCUGCCUCUUGCCU